This 54-nucleotide transfer RNA is filed under the name Litoditis aff. marina PmIV. RNAcentral's name for it is "tRNA-Ser". The record is from RNAcentral. Lineage: Eukaryota; Metazoa; Nematoda; Chromadorea; Rhabditida; Rhabditidae.
AAACUAAAUAUAAAAAUGUUUUGAAAACAUUUUUAGAGUAUAACUCGUAGUUUU